RNAcentral lists this ribosomal RNA (490 nucleotides) under uncultured bacterium. Its description in RNAcentral is "partial 16S ribosomal RNA". It matches the Rfam family "Bacterial small subunit ribosomal RNA", at positions 30 to 507 of the family's 1533-position model. The record is from RNAcentral.
AUUGAACGCUGGCGGCAGGCCUAACACAUGCAAGUCGAACGGUAACAGGAAGAAGCUUGCUUCUUUGCUGACGAGUGGCGGACGGGUGAGGAAUGUCUGGGAAACUGCCUGGUGGAGGGGGAUAACUACUGGAAACGGUAGCUAAUACCGCAUAACGUCGCAAGACCAAAGAGGGGGACCUUCGGGCCUCUUGCCAUCGGAUGUGCCCAGAUGGGAUUAGCUAGUAGGUGGGGUAACGGCUCACCUAGGCGACGAUCCCUAGCUGGUCUGAGAGGAUGACCAGCCACACUGGAACUGAGACACGGUCCAGACUCCUACGGGAGGCAGCAGUGGGGAAUAUUGCACAAUGGGCGCAAGCCUGAUGCAGCCAUGCCGCGUGUAUGAAGAAGGCCUUCGGGUUGUAAAGUACUUUCAGCGGGGAGGAAGGGAGUAAAGUUAAUACCUUUGCUCAUUGACGUUACCCGCAGAAGAAGCACCGGCUAACUCCGUG